GAUGAACGCUGGCGGCGUGCCUAAUACAUGCAAGUCGAGCGAACGGACGAGAAGCUUGCUUCUCUGAUGUUAGCGGCGGACGGGUGAGUAACACGUGGAUAACCUACCUAUAAGACUGGGAUAACUUCGGGAAACCGGAGCUAAUACCGGAUGAUAUUUUGAACCGCAUGGUUCAAAAGUGAAAGACGGUCUUGCUGUCACUUAUAGAUGGAUCCGCGCUGCAUUAGCUAGUUGGUAAGGUAACGGCUUACCAAGGCAACGAUGCAUAGCCGACCUGAGAGGGUAAUCGGCCACACUGGAACUGAGACACGGUCCAGACUCCUGCGGGAGGCAGCAGUAGGGAAUCUUCCGCAAUGGGCGAAAGCCUGACGGAGCAACGCCGCGUGAGUGAUGAAGGUCUUCGGAUCGUAAAACUCUGUUAUUAGGGAAGAACAUAUGUGUAAGUAACUGUGCACAUCUUGACGGUACCUAAUCAGAAAGCCACGGCUAACUACGUG
RNAcentral lists this ribosomal RNA (497 nucleotides) under uncultured bacterium. RNAcentral's name for it is "partial 16S ribosomal RNA". It matches the Rfam family "Bacterial small subunit ribosomal RNA", at positions 28 to 507 of the family's 1533-position model. The record is from RNAcentral.